UUCUUUAUCCUGUAUUACAGAAAUUGACGAUGCCGAUGUCAAUACUUAUUUACAUAUUUAUUUCUUAAACAGUGACACGUAUCAGAAACUUGUUUUUUGUUCCAUCAUUACUCGGGAAUCACGUACUACAUACGUGCUUACGUAUAUAUUUUGUUUAUGUAUACAUUUCGGUAUCGUACGCACAUUAUUUAGAGCAUUUUCUAACGUAAAUCGAAAAUACAAUCAAACCGAUCGAAAAUUACAAAUAAGCAUAGAAAGUUAACUUCAUAAAAUCGCAUCGAUUAAGAUGGGUCCGUGUGGAUGAGGAUAGAACCGCACAAAAGGUAUUAAUUGGUAAACUCAAUGGAUAAGACCAAGAUGUAGAGAAGAGAAUAUUAGAAUGGAUCUUAACGAAAUAACGGGGUAGUGAAUGGAGGAAUCUUGCCCGGAAAUGGGAACAGCGACGGUAUUUGAAUAUAUUUUUAUCAAUUGUUACAAAGUACGUGAAUACAAAGAGAUAAGUAACUGGACACAAGGAAUCAUAGGUCGAUAGAAUGAAAUAAAAAAAGGUCUGACAGAUAAAUAGGUUAGAAAACGAACAAUUAAAAUAAUUAUUAUUAUAGUCAUUAAACGAUUUUUAUUUGAAUUAAACUAUUUCUAUAACUUUCAAUUGAUUUAAUUCAUCAUGGAAUUCAUUGAAAUAUUAACUAUUAUUACAGCAAUACUAAUAGAAUUAUUCUACAGAAUAUUAUAACACAAUUUAAAUAAAUUAUAUAUGUAUAAUAAGAUCAAAGGAAUCCUGGAUCCAAAAGCAUAUCCAAUUAUUGGAAAUAUUCAUUAAUUAAUUAUUUUUGAUGUAAUAAAAAGUACAAUUGACCGAGUAUUGAGAAGUUGGAAAGUUCAGCUAAAAAUAAUUAUUAUAUACGCAACGGUAUUCUACUUUUCAUCUUCUUUUAUACUGAUAAAAUUUAUGUUAUAAAAACAAAAACCGAAGACACUUUUAAACAUUUUAUUCGAAUCAUCGCACGAAGGAGAAAAAUAUUCGGAGCAAGAUACCCGAGAUGAAAUUAAUACAAUAGUUAUAGCUGUAAGUCGCAUUUAUUAUUUAAGUGUAAUAAAAUUUUGUUUGUUAAAUACAAUUG
Molecule: long non-coding RNA, 1121 nt
Organism: Vespa mandarinia (Asian giant hornet)
Lineage: Eukaryota; Metazoa; Arthropoda; Insecta; Hymenoptera; Vespidae
Source: RefSeq, a predicted model, not a curated record